This 202-nucleotide ribosomal RNA is filed under the name Paenibacillus macquariensis. RNAcentral describes it as "partial 16S ribosomal RNA". It matches the Rfam family "Bacterial small subunit ribosomal RNA", at positions 327 to 523 of the family's 1533-position model. Lineage: Bacteria; Bacillati; Bacillota; Bacilli; Caryophanales; Paenibacillaceae. The record is from RNAcentral.
CGGCCCAGACUCCUACGGGAGGCAGCAGUAGGGAAUCUUCCGCAAUGGACGAAAGUCUGACGGAGCAAUGCCGCGUGAGUGAUGAAGGUUUUCGGAUCGUAAAGCUCUGUUGCCAGGGAAGAACGCUUGGGAGAGUAACUGCUCUCAAGGUGACGGUACCUGAGAAGAAAGCCCCGGCUACUCGUGCCAGCAGCCGCGGUAA